Molecule: non-coding RNA, 227 nt
Organism: Paramuricea clavata
Lineage: Eukaryota; Metazoa; Cnidaria; Anthozoa; Malacalcyonacea; Plexauridae
Source: the annotation of a GenBank genome assembly
AGGGCACUUCUGCCCCCCUGUCCCCCCUAGCAAAAGGCAAGGGGGGCAGCCGCCCCCCAGUUCCGGCGUCCCUGGGUUUAGUGUAUCUUUUAACAUGGUCGAGAAAGAGAAUUAUGUUUGGGGAUUUUAUAAUGUGAACAUUAUAUCAUAAUCAAUAUUUUCACUCUUAAAUAUUAAUACUCAGGACUCUCCCAUUGAUAGCCCAAUGAUAGGUAAAAUUAUCUCUG